Molecule: ribosomal RNA, 1600 nt
Filed under: Salmonella enterica subsp. enterica serovar Newport
Lineage: Bacteria; Pseudomonadati; Pseudomonadota; Gammaproteobacteria; Enterobacterales; Enterobacteriaceae
Description: partial 23S ribosomal RNA
Rfam family: Bacterial large subunit ribosomal RNA
Source: RNAcentral
AGCAAGGUUAACCGUAUAGGGGAGCCGAAGGGAAACCGAGUCUUAACCGGGCGUUAAGUUGCAGGGUAUAGACCCGAAACCCGGUGAUCUAGCCAUGGGCAGGUUGAAGGUUGGGUAACACUAACUGGAGGACCGAACCGACUAAUGUUGAAAAAUUAGCGGAUGACCUGUGGCUGGGGGUGAAAGGCCAAUCAAACCGGGAGAUAGCUGGUUCUCCCCGAAAGCUAUUUAGGUAGCGCCUCGUGAAUUCAUCUCCGGGGGUAGAGCACUGUUUCGGCUAGGGGGCCAUCCCGGCUUACCAACCCGAUGCAAACUGCGAAUACCGGAGAAUGUUAUCACGGGAGACACACGGCGGGUGCUAACGUCCGUCGUGAAGAGGGAAACAACCCAGACCGCCAGCUAAGGUCCCAAAGUCAUGGUUAAGUGGGAAACGAUGUGGGAAGGCCCAGACAGCCAGGAUGUUGGCUUAGAAGCAGCCAUCAUUUAAAGAAAGCGUAAUAGCUCACUGGUCGAGUCGGCCUGCGCGGAAGAUGUAACGGGGCUAAACCAUGCACCGAAGCUGCGGCAGCGAACGUAUCACUUAAAGCGAUUCAGCGGGUUACGAUUGACGGAGCGAAGCGACGUCAAAGCGUAUACAAAGUCGAGUCGGUUUAAGGAUACGUUCGUUGGGUAGGGGAGCGUUCUGUAAGCCUGUGAAGGUGUGUCGUGAGGCAUGCUGGAGGUAUCAGAAGUGCGAAUGCUGACAUAAGUAACGAUAAAGCGGGUGAAAAGCCCGCUCGCCGGAAGACCAAGGGUUCCUGUCCAACGUUAAUCGGGGCAGGGUGAGUCGACCCCUAAGGCGAGGCCGAAAGGCGUAGUCGAUGGGAAACGGGUUAAUAUUCCCGUACUUGGUGUUACUGCGAAGGGGGGACGGAGAAGGCUAUGUUGGCCGGGCGACGGUUGUCCCGGUUUAAGCGUGUAGGUGUGUGUUCCAGGUAAAUCCGGUUCACUUUAACACUGAGGCGUGACGACGAGGCACUACGGUGCUGAAGCAACAAAUGCCCUGCUUCCAGGAAAAGCCUCUAAGCAUCAGGUAACAUCAAAUCGUACCCCAAACCGACACAGGUGGUCAGGUAGAGAAUACCAAGGCGCUUGAGAGAACUCGGGUGAAGGAACUAGGCAAAAUGGUGCCGUAACUUCGGGAGAAGGCACGCUGACACGUAGGUGAAGUGAUUUACUCAUGGAGCUGAAGUCAGUCGAAGAUACCAGCUGGCUGCAACUGUUUAUUAAAAACACAGCACUGUGCAAACACGAAAGUGGACGUAUACGGUGUGACGCCUGCCCGGUGCCGGAAGGUUAAUUGAUGGGGUCAGCGCAAGCGAAGCUCCUGAUCGAAGCCCCGGUAAACGGCGGCCGUAACUAUAACGGUCCUAAGGUAGCGAAAUUCCUUGUCGGGUAAGUUCCGACCUGCACGAAUGGCGUAAUGAUGGCCAGGCUGUCUCCACCCGAGACUCAGUGAAAUUGAACUCGCUGUGAAGAUGCAGUGUACCCGCGGCAAGACGGAAAGACCCCGUGAACCUUUACUAUAGCUUGACACUGAACAUUGAGCCUUGAUGUGUAG